Fukomys damarensis (Damara mole-rat) is the source of this 1697-nucleotide long non-coding RNA. NCBI's taxonomy places the organism in Eukaryota, Metazoa, Chordata, Mammalia, Rodentia, Bathyergidae. The record is from Ensembl.
AAAAGUUUUAGGAUUUCUGUUCCAGGAACAGGAAAAAAAUGUAUUUUUAAAAAUGUACCAUAAAAGCAUUAGUAAUUUCCAAGUGGUGAAGGUGUGAAGAACAAGCAGUAUUCUGCUAAUUUACUCCAGUACUUAUUCAUAGAAAUAAGAAAUCAUGGACAUAGCAAAUCAUAUCAGGAAAACCAGACAUAUGGACUUAGCAAACUUUCCAGAUACAACUCCCUUGCCUGAGACAUAUGAAAGGAGAAGCGUUCCAAAACUGAUACAGCUGCACCACCAAUCUGGUCACCUGGUCAUCUGCUACAAACCUCGCCUGCUCCUAGGGCUUCAGCUCAGUGCAGUUUCUCCUGCUCCUGAUGCAACAUGGCCCACUUCAAGCUGGCGCUUUCCAAACUGUCUGUAUUCUGGACCUCUUUCAUCUGACAGCUCAGCCCUGGGACCAACCGUAUUUCCAGUUCUCCUCCUGUGGAUGUCCUUGGUCCCCUUGGGUUGAGUUGCCCAGUUUGACUGCAUCUGGCCAGUGAGCUGUGAUCCGCUUCAGUGCCUGAGCACUCACUUGCUAAUAUAACCCCCCCCAACACUAUUCCAGCUUGGCAGCAACUCUGGGAUUACAUGAGCAGAGAUCCCUGCUGACCUGAAGGUGGUAGUGUCCAAAAGAUAUAAACCUUUUUUAAAGCCACUUAUAUUUGGUGUAGGAAGUAGGAUUUGUUGUUGUUGUUGUUCCUGGAACAUAAUUGUGCUUAUCCUAACCAACAGAAUCAUAGUUACAAACCUCAUAUACUCCCAAUGGGCAACGGAACAGUAGUUACAAAGGAAUGGCCUAAAAAUGACCCUUGGUAGUUAUCUUUAUACCUUCCUGGCGGGAAAAAGUGACUAAACAAUUCUUCACUUGACUGCUUUAGUUGUUGUAGAAAGUAGUUCUGUCAUGUGGCUAUGUCAAGUGAUAUUUUCAUAUGGUGGUAAAGAAAUCAUAUCAUGACUAAGUUGCCUCAUGGAUUUUGCUUAGCGACCAGCACAGACAGUCACAGUGGCCCUAACCAUUUAUAGACUGAUAGGUGUUAAGAAUCCCAGGGUGAUGAUCUAGGCCAGAUGGGAUAUUUAAGCAGCUUUUCACAGGUUGUCAAUUUCAUGGGUAUCUGUGGGUUCACUUAUGUUUGCUUAUUAUUAAUCCAUGUAUUUUUGUAAGCCUGCAGGAGAAAAGGGAAAAAAAAGAACUUCACAUUGGGUCGUAUUAAGAGAUCAUGUGGAGAGUUUGAACUUUGUAAUCUUUUUUUCUUUCUUUUCAUUUUCACAACUAUCCUUUGUGGUAAAUACAGUUUACCCUUCUCAUUAUCACCUUGAUCAAGAUCACACAGGCAUAGCUGGGACUUAAAUUCAGAAAGCCCAAAGCCGACGGUAGUGCUGUGAUCCCCAAGCUUUCCUGUUUCUGGAAUGAGAGGGAAUAGAGUGCUGAGCACACAUGCGACAAUCUUUUUGUCAUUUGGGAACUGGGGGAAUCUGAGAAGUGAGCCCAGCAAAGAAGAAGGAAAUAGCAUUUGGAGCACAAACGCAGCGUGUGGAAGGCCUGAGCGUUGUAGUAGUCGUGUUGUAGGGUCUUAAAGACAACCACCCUGGCUAGAGCCUCAUGAGCAGGAGGAGCAGUGAAACUGUGCAGGUAGGUGUCCUUGUUAAGGAGAAGAAAUCACAGCAUUGAGGUG